Molecule: ribosomal RNA, 354 nt
Filed under: uncultured bacterium
Lineage: Bacteria
Description: bacterial SSU rRNA
Rfam family: Bacterial small subunit ribosomal RNA
Source: RNAcentral
UCUGGGUUAAUACCGUCGGGGGGAGUGACGGUACCUGAAGAAUAAGCACCGGCUAACUACGUGCCAGCAGCCGCGGUAAUACGUAGGGGUGCGAGCGUUAAUCGGAAUUACUGGGCGUAAAGCGUGCGCAGGCGGUUGUGCAAGACAGGUGUGAAAUACCCCGGGCCUUAACCUGGGAACUGCACUUGUGACUGCACGGCUAGAGUACGGUAGAGGGGGAGUGGAAUUCCGCGUGUAGCAGUGAAAUGCGUAGAUAUGCGGAGGAACACCGAUGGCGAAGGCAAUCCCCCUGGACCUGUACUGACGCUCAUGCACGAAAGCGUGGGGAGCAAACAGGAUUAGAUACCCUGGUAG